CUGGUUCUUUGAAACUAAGAAUAAACACAAAACUUUGUUAGAAUUUAUUAAAGAAGCAAAAAGAUUUUAAAAUCCUUAUAAUGGAUUGUAAAGAAUAGUAUUUAAAUUACAUUUCAAAUUCUUAGCUAAGUAACAAGAGAAUCACUGGGACUUUGCAACUCUUCAUAAUUUUCUCACAAAAUCAGAGCAAUUGAGAUGGCUCAGUACUUUCAAGGAAAUGCUGGAACAAUGUAUUAGGCGAACUGCUUUUUUUCCUUUUUUUUUGGUCUUUUGCUAUUUUAUAGUUUGCUUAAGAAACUUAAGAACAAGUGACUGGGGCCGGGCGCAGUGGCUCACCCCUGUAAUCCCAGCACUUUGGGAGGCCGAGGGGGGUGGAUCACGAGGUCAGGAGAUCAAAACCAUCCUGGCUAACACGGUGAAACCCUGUAUCUACUAAAAAUACAAAAAAUUAGCCAGGUGUGGUGGCGGGUGCCUGUAGUCCCAGCUACUCGGGAGGCUGAGGCAGGAGAAUGGCGUGAACCCGGGAGGCGGAGCUUGCAGUGAGCCGAGACCGCGCCACUGCACUCCAGCCUGGGCGACAGAGCGAGACUCCAUCUCAAAAAACGCGUACAGCAAAAAAGGGUGCCGUUACAUAGGUCAUUGGAUGCUAUCACUGGAAUGUCUGUUGAGAAAUAAACGUUUUACCAUCUGUAGACACAUGAGGGCGCUUUAAGCAGGCAGCGUGGGAUGCAGCGUGCAAAGGGAGGGAGGGAGGAAGAAAGCUUUGUCAAAGGUAGCCUGAAAUUCAGGCAUCUCCCUAUCUGGUUGCGGACCUGUGCCUGCGUCGGGGUGGGGAGCACCGAAUCGAUUUAGGAAAAGAACUGCGCAGGCCCUUGAUCCCCACUUCUCAUGGUGAAAUCAAGUUUGAGGUUCAAAUCAAGGCUUUCAGAGAGUCAGAAUUUCCAAAUCUGUUACUUUGUCAAAAAACUGCUUUUAAUCUGGUAACGUUUCCCAUUAACCUCAUUUGAUGUCCUUCCCUAAGAAUGUUUAAUUAGAAUCUCCUUUUCUGAUGCCAGCAGAAUUGAACUGCUUGUGAACUGAGCUUUAAAUUGGACAUGUUGUGUUUCUAGUCCUCCACUGAGGGUGAAUUUUGCAGCAAUUUGCGUUUAACUUUCUGUGUCUUGCUGCAUUAAGCACUUCUAGAAUAGGAUCAACAGGACAGAGCUGGAGUAUGCAGAGAUUCUCAAAAGAAAUGUAAAUUUGGAAUGUAAUUGGGAACCCAACAGGGAGGUGUGGAUUUCACGGAUGAAGUCUUGGUGGAAGAUCUAAGUGCCACAAUGUGAGUUUGAAGUUAUUCCAUCUUCAUAAGGAUUAAACUAUUUUAACCUCUACUAGGCAAAUGUUUAAGAGAAUAAUCUGACUACUGUGCAUUAAGUAGAGAGAUUAGAGUUUAAAACACUUUAAAUGAAUGGCAGAAUAGGACUCAGUUCUCUAGGAUCACACCAAUAGUUCCACCAGACAGAUGAAGAUAUGUAAUACAGUGUUUAAGCGGCCUGACAUUGGCACUAAAAUAUUGAAAUUACUGUUUCAAAAAUGCAAACUAAUAAAUGCUUACAUGCCCAGGGUCUAUAAGAAAGGCAAAAACCAGCCAGGCGAGGUGGCUCAUGCCUGUAAUUCUAACACUUUGGGAGGCCAAAGCAGGAAGAUCACUUGAGCUCCGGAGUUCGAGACCAGUCUGGGCACCAUAGUGAGACCUCGUUUCUACUAAAAAUUUAAAAAGUAGCUGGGACGUUGUGGUGCACACCUGUAGUCCUCGCAACUUGGGAGGCUGAGGAUGGCUUGAGCCCAGGAGUUCAAGGCUAUAGUGAGCCAUGAUCAUGCACUCCAGCCUAGGUGAUAGAGCAAGACCCUGUCUCAAAAACAUGCACUCCAGCCUAGGUGAUAGAGCAAGACCCUGUCUCAAAAAAAAAAAAAAAAAGGAAAAAAUAUUGGAAAAAAUGUGAUCAGGUCUGAGCACUUUUUAGCAUUCUUUUGUUUCUUUUCAGUGACAUGGGAGUGUUUGCUCUGUGCUCAGGAAUGUGUUUGGGCUUUCUUAACCCUAAGGGAGUGAGUCGAGGUCAAGAGUGGUUGGGUUCAACUCUGACAAAGGCAGGUGAACUCCUGACCUGGCAAAUUCAUUUUUUUCCCUGUUCCAAGAAUUACUUGACUCAUCUUUAAAGCGGUCACAUUUACACUGACAUUUUUCAGUGGUGAGCAAAAUCUUGCUACAUAAAAAACUGUGCAAAAUCCUUCCGUCUUGUAAUAUAUGAAUUCAGGGCCUCAGAUGGGGUAAACAGGGCCUACAGUGCCGAACAUUUAUCUUUCUUAUUUGAACGAACAACUCUUCCUUCCUUCCUGGAAUGUGACUUAACGUUAAGAAUUUCUAUUAAAUCUCUGGGUACACCCAGAGACCUCAGAAAGCUCUCUACAGAGAGAGCAAACAUCCUCCUGUACUUGGCAAAAGAAGAAACAGAUGCUUGCGUGGCUUGCAGGCUCAGCUGCUCAGGGCCGCUCUGUGGAAGAGAACCAGUGAACCUGGGUUGCCAGAAAAAAUGUUAAUGUUGAGUUGAGAAUAAGCAUUUGCACUUGUGAGUAGUCAACAGAUAUGUAGGACAUGUGAGUGCAACGGAAGCGGCACCCAAACUGGACUGCCCUGUAGUCAAAGUUAGGGGAACUGGGGCUAUUUUGGGUUUGGGCCAUUGGGUAUCCAUUUUCCCUUUCUGAGAAGUACCCCUUCUCCAUCUAGCUCAGGAACUCUGGGAAGAUGGCCACACCCAGGCUCCAGGGGUGGGCUCUAAUUAGUCUAUGCAAAUUAGUUCAUCCCAUUCACUUCUCUCCCCCCUUUCAUGAUUGGUUUAAGAGACAGGCCUACCAGCAAUGGUAUGCAAGACCUUUGCUGGGAUUUCUGAGAAAGACACUUGCUCUGUGUAGAAGCUACUAGGAUAACUUCUCUCCUCUGGACAGUGUGGAAAAUAGACUUGAGUCUUAAGAGCAUGGUGGCCCUUUGCCACAAUUCUGAAUGCAAUGUCAACCCAAGGAGGAAAGGAGAGCUAAGAUAAUUAAGAGAUGGGAGCUGGCCGGGUACGGUGGCUCAUGCCUGUAAUUCCGGCAGUUUCGGAGGCCAAAGCAGGUGGAUCACCUGAGGUCAGGGGUUUGAGACCAGCCUGGACAACAUGGUGAAAUCCUGUCUGUACUAAUAAUAUAAAAAUUAGCAGGGCGUGGUGGCACAUGCCUGUAAUCCCAGCUACUCGGAAGGCCGGGCAGGAGAAUGGCUUGAACCCAGGAGGCGGAGGUUGCAGUGAGCCGAGAUCAUGCCAUUGCACUCCACCUGGGUGACAAAGCAAGACUGUCUCAAAAAAAGAAAAAGAAAAAAGAAAAAAAAAAAAGAGAUGGGAGCUGAAAUCCUGAUCAAAUUGGACCAACUGGACUUUUCACUCACUGAACCAAUAAAUUCUUAUUGUUGAAGCUAGGCUCAGCUGAGGUGUCAAAUGCAGCAUAUUUUAAUUUGUUUCAAAUAAAGCAAUAUAUGUAUAUAUAUUUUUUCAGAAAAACACCAGAUGUUAAAUUCUACAAAAGCGCAUGUGUCCUCAGCAGAUCAUGUUUAGCUGAUUAUUAGAAUUAGUAAAAA
This 3646-nucleotide long non-coding RNA is filed under the name Homo sapiens (human). RNAcentral's name for it is "HSALNT0045737". Lineage: Eukaryota; Metazoa; Chordata; Mammalia; Primates; Hominidae. The record is from RNAcentral.